GCGGCAGGCUUAAUACAUGCAAGUCGAGGGGCAGCAGGGAUAGCAAUAUUCGCUGGCGACCGGCGCACGGGUGCGUAACACGUAUACAAUCUGCCUUUUACUGGGGGAUAGCCUUUCGAAAGAGAGAUUAAUACCCCAUAAUAGAUUGCUCGGCAUCGAGUGAUUUUGAAAGCUCCGGCGGUAAGAGAUGAGUAUGCGUCUGAUUAGCUAGUAGGUGAGGUAACGGCUCACCUAGGCUACGAUCAGUAGGGGAUCUGAGAGGACUAACCCCCACACGGAUACUGAGACACGGAUCCGACUCCUACGGGAGGCAGCAGUAAGGAAUAUUGGACAAUGCCCGCAAGGGUGAUCCAGCCAUGCCGCGUGCAGGAAGACGGCCCUAUGGGUUGUAAACUGCUUUUAUACAAGAGAAAACCUCCCUACGUGUAGGGAGCUGAUAGUAUUGUAGGAAUAAGCAUCGGCUAGCUUCGUGCCAGCAGCCGCGGUAAGACGAAGGAUGCAAGCGUUAUCCGGAUUCAUUGGGUUUAAAGGGAGCGUAGGCGGUCUUAUAAGUCAGUGGUGAAAGCUCCUCGCUUAACGAGGAAAUUGCCAUUGAUACUGUAGGACUUGAGUACAGUUGCUGUGGGCGGAAUAUGACAUGUAGUGGUGAAAUACAUAGAUAUGUCAUAGAACACCGAUUGCGAAGGCAGCUCACAAAACUGUAACUGACGCUGAGGCUCGAAAGUGCGGGGAUCAAACAGGAUUAGAUACCCUGGUAGUCCGCACUGUAAACGAUGAU
Molecule: ribosomal RNA, 778 nt
Filed under: uncultured Bacteroidota bacterium
Lineage: Bacteria; Pseudomonadati; Bacteroidota
Description: bacterial SSU rRNA
Rfam family: Bacterial small subunit ribosomal RNA
Source: RNAcentral